RNAcentral lists this ribosomal RNA (253 nucleotides) under uncultured bacterium. Its description in RNAcentral is "partial 16S ribosomal RNA". It matches the Rfam family "Bacterial small subunit ribosomal RNA", at positions 524 to 776 of the family's 1533-position model. The record is from RNAcentral.
UACGGAGGGGGCUAGCGUUGUUCGGAAUUACUGGGCGUAAAGCGCACGUAGGCGGCUUUGUAAGUUAGAGGUGAAAGCCCGGGGCUCAACUCCGGAAUUGCCUUUAAGACUGCAUCGCUAGAAUUGUGGAGAGGUAAGUGGAAUUCCGAGUGUAGAGGUGAAAUUCGUAGAGAUCAGGAAGAACAUCGGUGGCGAAGGCGCUCUGCUGGACCAUAACUGACACUCAGGGACGAAAGCUAGGGGAGCGAAUGGG